This 89-nucleotide transfer RNA is filed under the name Ipomoea nil (Japanese morning glory). It matches the Rfam family "tRNA". Rfam says of the family: Transfer RNA (tRNA) molecules are approximately 80 nucleotides in length. Lineage: Eukaryota; Viridiplantae; Streptophyta; Magnoliopsida; Solanales; Convolvulaceae. The record is from Rfam by way of RNAcentral.
CCGACCUUAGCUCAGUUGGUAGAGCGGAGGACUGUAGUCGAAGUUGCACUGAAAUCCUUAGGUCGCUGGUUCGAAUCCGGCAGGUCGGA